This 298-nucleotide signal recognition particle RNA is filed under the name Cebus imitator (Panamanian white-faced capuchin). Its description in RNAcentral is "Metazoan signal recognition particle RNA (ENSCCAG00000004969.1)". It matches the Rfam family "Metazoan signal recognition particle RNA". Rfam says of the family: The signal recognition particle (SRP) is a universally conserved ribonucleoprotein. The record is from RNAcentral. Lineage: Eukaryota; Metazoa; Chordata; Mammalia; Primates; Cebidae.
GCCGGGCGCAGUGGCGCUUGCCUUUGGUCCCAGCUACUCGGGAGGGUGACGUGGGAGGAUCGCUUGAGCCCAGGAGUUCUGGCUGUAGUGCGCUAUGCCGAUCAGGUGUCCACACUAAGUUCAGCAUCAAUAUGGUGACCUCCCAGGAGCGGGGGACCACCAAGUUGCCUAAGGAGGGGUGAACUGGCCCAGGUCGGAAACAGAGCAGGUCAAAGCUCCCGUGCUAAUCAGUAGUGGGUUCGCGCCUGUGAAUAGCCACUGCACUCCAGCCUGGGCAACAUAGCGAGACCCUGUCUCU